UACGAAGGGGGCUAGCGUUGCUCGGAAUCACUGGGCGUAAAGCGCACGUAGGCGGUUUGUUAAGUCAGGGGUGAAAUCCUGGAGCUCAACUCCAGAACUGCCUUUGAUACUGGCGAUCUUGAGUCCGGGAGAGGUGAGUGGAACUCCGAGUGUAGAGGUGAAAUUCGUAGAUAUUCGGAAGAACACCAGUGGCGAAGGCGGCUCACUGGCCCGAUACUGACGCUGAGGCGCGAAAGCGUGGGGAGCAAACAGG
RNAcentral lists this ribosomal RNA (253 nucleotides) under uncultured bacterium. Its description in RNAcentral is "partial 16S ribosomal RNA". It matches the Rfam family "Bacterial small subunit ribosomal RNA", at positions 524 to 776 of the family's 1533-position model. The record is from RNAcentral.